UGCCCGGUGGUGUAAUGGUAACACAUCGGCCUUUGGAGCCGAGUUUCGAGGUUCGAGUCCUCGCCGGGCAG
RNAcentral lists this transfer RNA (71 nucleotides) under PVC group bacterium. RNAcentral's name for it is "tRNA-Gln". It matches the Rfam family "tRNA". From Rfam's summary of the family: Transfer RNA (tRNA) molecules are approximately 80 nucleotides in length. Their secondary structure includes four short double-helical elements and three loops (D, anti-codon, and T loops). The record is from RNAcentral. RNAcentral also lists the same sequence under 3 other names. Lineage: Bacteria; Pseudomonadati.